CUAAUCUGUGUGUGCUGUAGUGACCAGCGGCUCCUAACGUGUCUGUGUGAUGACCAGUUGUCCUCCAAAAACCUCACUCACCACGGAGUCCCCCUGAGGGCCCCGGGCAGUUGCCCCGGCCGCCCAGUGACGCCCACCGGCUCCCUCCGUUCCCUCCUGUCACCUACCAGGGCAGACCCCACUAAGCCGCUGAGUCCCUUCCUGGAAGACCCUGGGGGCCGAUAGCUUUACCUAGGACUCUCCAGGGUCACUGAUCCUCCCUGGCCUAGGGCUGCCAGGACCAAGUUCCUCUCUGCAGGAUCUCACAGCAGCCCUGAGAAGACGGGGAAGGAAGAAGCCAGUGGCCCCGGCGUGGACCCUGCCCUUUGGACAUCCCAUGGACUUCUCACCCAGUCGCCUGGAAGUCGGGGAGCAGCAGCCCUGCCCCCGGCGGAGGGGUUGUUGCUUUCUGGGGAGGAGGACGGUUGACGGCCCUGCCUGGAUCCACCACCAGGACGCUGUGCUCGGCCACGGCGCGCCUCCCCCAAGGGCUCAUCCGCGCAACAACCACAUGCCAACGAUAGCUCCAGGUGCCUCAGCCCGUGCCCUGACCCAGGGACCACAGGGACACCCUCUGAGACGUGCUGGCCCUGGGAGGAUACAGGCACACGGGCACCUAGCCCCUCUCGGAGCCAGGCGUGUCUUGACGGUGUCUGCUAACAGGAACAAGUCAUUCUGAAAGGUCCCCCUGACCCAGGUCACCAAAUUUGGGCCAGAACUGGCAUUUCUCCUGAGUACCCACUGGUGCUGGCGUCCUCACAGUGCUGGGCGCCAAGUUCAGCCCCAGGCGCAUUUGCCUAAGCAGUGGUGGCUGCCAUCUCUCAGGGCCCGGGCCCUCACGUGAAGGGCUGCCUCACUCUGUGGUGUCAGGCAUUGGACUGUGUCCUGAUUCCUCAGAAUAUGGGGACCUGAUAUCUUUGGGUCCCCAAGAGUUGGCUCUUGGAUGUGGGGGCUUGAUGCCGCGGUUGGCGGCUGCAGUAUCUGGGUCCAGGGAAGCCACUGCCUCAGCAGGGACAGCCUCUCCCGCUGCAGGCCCUGGGCAGCCCACAGUAGUGCUAGCUGAGGCCCAGAGGAACAGGAGGAAAGGGAGGUAGCGCCGGACAGCGCAGCUGGCCAAGAGGCGGGCGGGGCCAGAAAUACCUCAUGCACCUGCACCAGCCCCUCCGUCUCCAGGCCCCAGGCCCCUGUGUGGACCCAUCUUCCUCCUCUGCCACCCCGAUCUUCACUCGGAUACCUCUUGAUUUCUGUGGAUUAGGGAAGCAGCCACUUCUCCCUCCCUGAGACCCGAGGACGCCCCUGGUGGGGGUGGCCUUCUCAGGCCUCCUGGGUAGCACAGCAGCAGGACCUUGUCAUAGGACUGAUGCUGAGCGGGGAGGGGGCUGCCAGGCUGGCCGCCGAUGCUCCGUUCACAUAAGCCAGUGUGGUUCUGGGGACCUGAGGAGCCCCGUGGCACCCACGGGGGACACCUAUGUCUGCCGUGGCUCCUCGGGUGGUGGCCCGUGUGACCAAAGCCAACAACAAGGGUGACUUCCGGCAGGCAGGGGCGGCAGGAGGGCAGAGGGCAGAGCUCUGGCCACUUCUGCCCACUUCAUUAGGGUUUGUGAACUUUGUCCUUCGACCUCUUUUCGUGCCCUGGUUGUGAGAUCGCCUCUGACAGAUAAUGCCAGGGGCCCUUCACUCCCCUCCCAUGACUGGGAAAAGGCCUGUGGCAGCUCUGCUGGACCCUAGGAGGCUCAGAGGCAGUGGUGUGGGAGCCCUGUCUGCAAGGACGCAGAACAAGCAGUGAGGGCGGCUGCAGGAGAGGAAGGGGCUCCCACAGCCCCCACUGACACCCCUGCAGGCCCCUCUUGAGCUGGGGUCCCAGCCAGGUGCCCCCGCAUGCCCUCCUGCAGUUGCUGGAUGGACAGGACCUCCAGGCCACCAGGAAGAGGACAAACUGCGUGGACUCAGGCGAGCUGGAGCCAUCUUCUCCAUAGCAUGACGGACUUAGCAUAAGAGUAAAUGACUGUGAACGUUGUAGUAAACGGCAGCUUCAGAUAAGCAGUGACAGGGUUAAGGACAAGUUGGUGUCUGUGGUAGGUUUUAGGCUGCUCCUAACCCACCAUGUAUUGCCUUCUGAGAGGUGGGUGAGGACAAGCGUGUGCCUGUGUGUGUGUGUGUGUGUGUGUGUGUGAGAGCACGUGUGCGUGUAAGCCCACCUGAAUGGGGCUGGUGCGGGAAAACUGAGGCGUGGAACUCUGGCUCAUACCUAGGAAUUGAGAGCUUUUCUGUCUUUUGGGAGAGUUCUUUUCUCCACCCUCUGGCCACUGUGGGAGGGAAGGACAAGGUUUCCCUUGGAAAUGUGAAGAAGGUCUUGGUCUCAUCCCUCAGGUCCCCCCCGCCACAGCACUUCCCACCACUGCUGCUGUCCCUGCCGGCAGCCUCUGUCCCUCCAGAAUGGCUAACCAGAGCACACCGUCCCCACCACCUCCCCUUUCUCUCUGGAAAGUUGAAGUGUCUUUCCAGAGGCCUUGGAAAUGGCACAAAGGUGACAAGGAGCAGGUGCUUUGCUGCGGGCUCCCUUGCAAAUGUAUAAUUAAGGCCUUUCUUCCCACCCCAAGUGCAAGAACAAAUGCCAGCCACAUCCUCCACCACUUGGAGAGAUGAGAACCCAGCGGGGUCGUGUAAAGGAAUUGGAGGUCGGUAGGAGGACAAGAGGGACUCCCGUGUUCUAAGCACCUGCUCCCGGCCAGGCUCUAGGCCAGGCUGUCUAAGCACAUUUCUCCUUUUAUUCCCCCUAAAACCAGAGUGACCUGGAAGUAGAUGUUCUUUGCUCCUUGUUAGAGUUGAAGAGGCUGAGGCUUGACCGGCUGCUAAGCGGCAGAGGCGGGGGUCGGCCCCUAGCCCCCGGGCCAGCCAUCCCGUCGCAAAGCCUGUGCUGGGGAUGCUCUUUCUGUUUCCAGUCCUGUCACGGACUUCCCAGCCGCCACUGGGCCCUGCCGGUCACCAGGCCACUGUGCAGUGGGUGCUGAGCAAAGUCAGGAGUGGCCUACCCGCACUCCUCCACCAAGAUGAGGGCCCUCCGGAGCCUACAGGUGUCUGUGGGGAAUCCCAGCCUGCAGCUUCGGAGAACUGGGUGGGCCUGAGGAUGAAGGCAAAGGAGGGCCUUGAGGAAGCAGCCUCCGGGCCUGGCAGCCACACGGCGGCUGAGCUCAUGAACUCGGUUCGCGGCCUGCCUUGUCCCCAGAGGCCACGCCAGGCACUCACCCCUGAGCCCACAGCCUCUGCUUGGGCUGCCUGGCACCCUCAGGGCGGCCCGCUCUCCUCCUGCCACUCUGAGCACAUGUCCAGGGGUUGCCACCAGUGACAGCUUUGUUUUCCCAGCCAAGGCCAUGGAGCUGCUGUGCGACUGUGUCAGGCCUGGACAAGGCCCUUAGGGAUGACGUCCCCGCUGCAUAUUUAUUCAAGGUGACUCUUGUACUUGGCAAGGGAAGUCCACUGUGUGAUUGUCUGUAUUCUUAAUAUAAUUUGUUAAAUAAACGUUUGUUUUAACCUCUUU
RNA transcript from Cercocebus atys (sooty mangabey), 3577 nucleotides. RefSeq lists it as uncharacterized. Lineage: Eukaryota; Metazoa; Chordata; Mammalia; Primates; Cercopithecidae. The record is from RefSeq and is a predicted model, not a curated record. The transcript has a single exon.